GACGAACGCUGGCGGCGCGCCUAACACAUGCAAGUCGAACGGAGCGUGCCGAGCGGAAGCCUUCGGGUGGAAGCAUGGCACUGCUUAGUGGCGAACGGGUGAGUAACACGUGAGCAACCUCCCUUAAAGUGGGGGACAACAUUUGGCAACGAAUGCUAAUACCGCAUAAGACCACGGAGUCGCAUGGCUCUGAGGCCACAGGAGCAAUCCUCUUUAAGAUGGGCUCGCGUCCGAUUAGCUAGUUGGUAAGGUAACGGCUUACCAAGGCGACGAUCAGUAGCCGACCUGAGAGGGUGACCGGCCACAUUGGGACUGAGACACGGCCCAGACUCCUACGGGAGGCAGCAGUAGGGAAUCUUCGGCAAUGGACGAAAGUCUGACCGAGCAACGCCGCGUGAGUGAAGAAGGUUUUCGGAUCGUAAAACUCUGUUGUUAGAGAAGAACAAGUAGGAGAGUAACUGCUCUUACCUUGACGGUAUCUAACCAGAAAGCCACGGCUAACUACGUGCCAGCAGC
This 516-nucleotide ribosomal RNA is filed under the name uncultured bacterium. RNAcentral describes it as "bacterial SSU rRNA". It matches the Rfam family "Bacterial small subunit ribosomal RNA", at positions 28 to 515 of the family's 1533-position model. The record is from RNAcentral.